GAUGAACGCUGGCGGCGUGCCUAAUACAUGCAACUCGAGCGAACGGACGAGAAGCUUGCUUCUCUGAUGUUAGCGGCGGACGGGUGAGUAACACGUGGAUAACCUACCUAUAAGACUGGGAUAACUUCGGGAAACCGUAGCUAAUACCGGAUAAUAUUUUGAACCGCAUGGUUCAAAAGUGAAAGACGGUCUUGCUGUCACUUAUAGAUGGAUCCGCGCUGCAUUAGCUAGUUGGUAAGGUAACGGCUUACCAAGGCAACGAUGCAUAGCCGACCUGAGAGGGUGAACGGCCACACUGGAACUGAGACACGGUACAGACUCCUACGGGAGGCAGCAGUAGGGAAUCUUCCGCAAAGGGCGAAAGCCUGACGGAGCAACGUCGCGUGAGUGAUGAAGGUCUUCGGAUCGUAAAACUCUGUUAUUAGGGAAGAACAUAUGUGUAAGUAACUGUGCACAUCUUGACGGUACCUAAUCAGAAAGCCACGGCUAACUACGUG
Molecule: ribosomal RNA, 497 nt
Filed under: uncultured bacterium
Lineage: Bacteria
Description: partial 16S ribosomal RNA
Rfam family: Bacterial small subunit ribosomal RNA
Source: RNAcentral